RNAcentral lists this ribosomal RNA (497 nucleotides) under uncultured bacterium. RNAcentral's name for it is "partial 16S ribosomal RNA". It matches the Rfam family "Bacterial small subunit ribosomal RNA", at positions 28 to 507 of the family's 1533-position model. The record is from RNAcentral.
GAUGAACGCUGGCGGCGUGCCUAAUACAUGCCAGUCGAGCGAACAGAUGAGGAGCUUGCUCCUCUGACGUUAGCGGCGGACGGGUGAGUAACACGUGGAUAACCUACCUAUAAGACUGGGAUAACUUCGGGAAACCGGAGCUAAUACCGGAUAAUAUAUUGAACCGCAUGGUUCAAUAGUGAAAGACGGUUUUGCUGUCACUUAUAGAUGGAUCCGCGCCGCAUUAGCUAGUUGGUAAGGUAACGGCUUACCAAGGCAACGAUGCGUAGCCGACCUGAGAGGGUGAUCGGCCACACUGGAACUGAGACACGGUCCUGACUCCUACGGGAGGCAGCAGUAGGGAAUCUUCCGCAAUGGGCGAAAGCCUGACGGAGCAACGCCGCGUGAGUGAUGAAGGUCUUCUGAUCGUAAAACUCUGUUAUUAGGGAAGAACAAAUGUGUAAGUAACUAUGCACGUCUUGACGGUACCUAAUCAGAAAGCCACGGCUAACUACGUG